CCUACGGGGGGCAGCAGUGAGGAAUAUUGGUCAAUGGGCGGGAGCCUGAACCAACCAAGUCGCGUGAGGGAAGACGGUCCUAUGGAUUGUAAACCUCUUUAGGCGGGGAGCAAUGCCGGGCACGCGUGCCCGGAGGGAGAGUACCCGCAGAAUAAGCAUCGGCUAACUCAGUGCCAGCAGCCGCGGUAAUACGGAGGAUGCGAGCGUUAUCCGGAUUUUUUGGGUUUACAGGGUGCGUAGGCGGAUUUUUAAGUAAUCGGUAAAAUGUCCGGGCUCAACCUGGGCCGGCCGUUGAAACUGGGGAUAUUGAGUGUGCGAGAGGUAUGCGGAAUUCGUGGUGUAGCGGUGAAAUGCAUAGAUAUCACGCAGAACUCCGAUUGCGAAGGCAGCAGACCGGCGCCCGACUGACGCUGAGGCACGAAAGCGUGGGGAUCGAACAGGAUUAGAUACCCUGGUAGUC
RNAcentral lists this ribosomal RNA (460 nucleotides) under uncultured bacterium. RNAcentral's name for it is "partial 16S ribosomal RNA". It matches the Rfam family "Bacterial small subunit ribosomal RNA", at positions 338 to 795 of the family's 1533-position model. The record is from RNAcentral.